This 253-nucleotide ribosomal RNA is filed under the name uncultured bacterium. Its description in RNAcentral is "partial 16S ribosomal RNA". It matches the Rfam family "Bacterial small subunit ribosomal RNA", at positions 524 to 776 of the family's 1533-position model. The record is from RNAcentral.
UACGAAGGGGGCUAGCGUUGUCCGGAAUUAUUGGGCGUAAAGAGCUCGUAGGCGGUUUGUCGCGUCUGCUGUGAAAACCUAAGGCUCAACCUUGGGCUUGCAGUGGGUACGGGCAGACUAGAGUGCGGUAGGGGUGACUGGAAUUCCUGGUGUAGCGGUGGAAUGCGCAGAUAUCAGGAGGAACACCGAUGGCGAAGGCAGGUCACUGGGCCGCAACUGACGCUGAGGAGCGAAAGCAUGGGGAGCGAACAGG